This 653-nucleotide long non-coding RNA is filed under the name Homo sapiens (human). Its description in RNAcentral is "non-protein coding PSD2-AS1:18". Lineage: Eukaryota; Metazoa; Chordata; Mammalia; Primates; Hominidae. The record is from RNAcentral.
GGGAAGGCUCAGAAGCUCCAAGGUUUCAUUGACACAGCCUGGAGACCCAGCUCUGUCACUCAACUCUACAUAGCCUUCACCCAGAGCCUGACAGUGUAUAUGAACAAGAGGCUGUGCCUGGUGAGUGCUUCUGCCACUUUCUCCAGGAUGACAGCUGUGGACUCCUGCCACAUCCAACACCCCCUUGCUGCUCCCCACCGCCCUCCUUGGCACCCAGGUGGCUGAUCUCCUAUGGUCUUGCUGGCUUCUCUACCUUGUAUGCUGAGGGCGGGCCCAGCCUGCCCCAGCUCAGGGUCUGCACAUAGUAGGUGCUUGCAUGUUGCCUGCUAAACUGACAGCCCUGUAACCAUGUCAGCACAAAGCAACCAGCAUUUUGGGUGCAUCUGCAGUUAAAAUAAACCACUGAGGUCAUGGGUCUGUUCUCUCUGCAAAAACAAAAAUACCCCACUAGCCAUAUCUGAUGAGAACCAUAGCAAAAGAUCAGAAUGUAAUGGCUUCAUCCAGAAGCAAAGCAUGAGGUUCCAAACCAUGUCCCUGACCUGAAGGGGCACCUGCCCAGGCCCAGGGGUGCCAACUCCUAGAGGCAGCUGGCAUGUGACUACUGUGCCCAGUAGAGAAAGGCAGACACUCAGUCCCCAGAGCCCAGAGCCCCG